CGACAACAUUUCAAAGAUUAGCCUUCCUUCCCCCCCCCCCCAAAUAAAUAAAAAUGUUAUUUCAGUGUCCAAACAGGAAGCUCAUGAAAAGGUUCAUGGACAUUUUCCCUAGGUUUUUUUUUUUUUAAGUUAAUUAUAUUUGGAGGUAUUUUACAAUGCUCAUGACGUGUUUGAAUAAGACAUUUUCUUUGUAUUGUAUUUCCUAAUAGAAGUGUCUACAAAACUUAUUUUCUUAUGUGUUUAACUGAUGUCAGCCAACCUUUCCUGAUCUACUUCCUGGGUGUUUACUUUGGUUCUCCUAAGAAGGAAAUCCAUUAAGACAAAGGCAGGUUUGCCACUGUCUUGUGUUAGUCGGACACUAACAAUAGUUCUCAUCCCUUUCUGAGGUCUUUUAGAGACUGAACUCCGUAUCUUAAUGUCUUGAGCGUGGUUCUUAAUCGGUUUUGGGCACCGUAGCUUGGAGGCUGGGCCCUCCCUGCCUCUCAGGCAAAGGAGGUCUGACCUGGUUCUCAUAGUCCUCAACUAAUCCAGGUGUCACUGAAUGUGGGUAACAACUUGACACCCCCCCCACUGGCCCCGGAACCACUGGCCCACUUGCAGUUUUCAAGUCGUGAACCAGUAGUAACCAAGGUGAUCGUGUCAAGCGCUCGGAACUUGCGUGUGGUCAAAAGGUUCUGAGAGCCAUUGUGAGUCACUGUGACACCUCUGGGCUUAGCCAGUCAGGCCCUGGGGCUCAGGGCAGGAAGGAUAAGACAAGGAGGAGAAGAAUCCUCUCUCUCACUCCUUGACCUCUCUUCCAGACGUUCCUGAAGCGAGCUCGGUGGUCUGAGAGGGAACAAGAACAGAUAAAGCGAUCUCUGAGGACUACCCUGGAAACAGGAGUGGUGCUCCUUCGUGAAGCCGUCUGUGGCGUCAGCGAGUCAUGGAGAAAGAAAAAGCCUGAAGUGAAACCCAGCACACCCGCACCCAGC
This 971-nucleotide long non-coding RNA is filed under the name Felis catus (domestic cat). Its description in RNAcentral is "lncRNA (ENSFCAG00000047136.1)". Lineage: Eukaryota; Metazoa; Chordata; Mammalia; Carnivora; Felidae. The record is from RNAcentral.